AUUGAACGCUGGCGGCAGGCCUAACACAUGCCAGUCGAGCGGAUGAAUGGAGCUGGCUCCUGGAUUCAGCGGCGGACGGGUGAGUAAUGCCUAGGAAUCGCCCUUGUAGGGGGGGAUGACGUCCGGAAGCGGGCUCUAAUAUCGCUUACGUCCUGAGGGGGAAAGUGGGGGAUCUUCGGACCUCGCGCUAUCAGAUGAGCCUAGGCCGGAUUAGCUAGUUGGUGGGGUAAAGGCCUACCAAGGCGACGAUCCGUAAGUGGCCUGAGAGGAUGAUCAGUCACACUGCACCUGAGACACGGUACAGACUCCAACGGGAGGCAGGAGUGCGGAAUAUUGGACAAUGCGAUAAAGCCCGAUCCAAACCUGCCGUGUCUCUGAAGAAGGUCUUCGGAUUGUAAAUCUAUUCAAGUUGGGAGGAAGGGCAGUACGUUCAUCCCUUGCUGUUCUGACGUUACCAACAGAAUAAGCACCGGCUAACUUCGUG
This 484-nucleotide ribosomal RNA is filed under the name uncultured bacterium. RNAcentral's name for it is "partial 16S ribosomal RNA". It matches the Rfam family "Bacterial small subunit ribosomal RNA", at positions 30 to 507 of the family's 1533-position model. The record is from RNAcentral.